RNAcentral lists this long non-coding RNA (269 nucleotides) under Olea europaea (common olive). RNAcentral describes it as "long non-coding RNA (OEUR_LNC005589)". Lineage: Eukaryota; Viridiplantae; Streptophyta; Magnoliopsida; Lamiales; Oleaceae. The record is from RNAcentral.
CAACACAAGACCUAGAGAGAAAAUUAGUGAGAAAACUUGGUGAGAAUUUUACAAGAUAGAAGGUUAUUCAUCUUGGGUAUAAAUUCAAAGUUAUUUUCUUUCUUGGGGAUUAACUUGAGGCUUGUUCAAGUAAUCCAAAUACAUUGAUCUUCAUAUAUUCCAUUGAAAUCAUUUCUUCCUCAUUUUCUUGUUCUUCAAGUGUUUUGGAAAUUUUCACAUUGUCAACUUUGUUUGAUCAUUGGGCUAUCUUUGGGAGGUGUUUUCCCAAC